GUUGUAUGGUUAAGUGACUAAGCGUACACGGUGGAUGCCUGGGCAGUCAGAGGCGAUGAAGGACGUACUAACUUGCGAUAAGCGCAGAUAAGGCAGUAAGAGCCGUUUGAGUCUGCGAUUUCCGAAUGGGGAAACCCAACUGCAUAAGCAGUUACUGUUAACUGAAUACAUAGGUUAACAGAGCAAACCGGGGGAACUGAAACAUCUAAGUACCCCGAGGAGAAGAAAUCAACCGAGAUUCCGGUAGUAGCGGCGAGCGAACCUGGAUUAGCCCUUAAGCGCUCGGUGAAGUAGGUGAACAAGCUGGAAAGCUUGGCGAUACAGGGUGAUAGCCCCGUAACCGACGCUUCAUCGAGCGUGAAAUCGAGUAGGGCGGGACACGUGAUAUCCUGUCUGAAUAUGGGGGGACCAUCCUCCAAGGCUAAAUACUCCUGACUGACCGAUAGUGAACCAGUACCGUGAGGGAAAGGCGAAAAGAACCCCUGUGAGGGGAGUGAAAUAGAACCUGAAACCGUGUACGUACAAGCAGUAGGAGCACCUUCGUGGUGUGACUGCGUACCUUUUGUAUAAUGGGUCAGCGACUUAUAUUCAGUGGCAAGGUUAACCGUAUAGGGGAGCCGUAGCGAAAGCGAGUCUUAACUGGGCGUUCAGUCUCUGGAUAUAGACCCGAAACCGGGUGAUCUAGCCAUGGGCAGGUUGAAGGUUGAGUAACAUCAACUGGAGGACCGAACCGACUAAUGUUGAAAAAUUAGCGGAUGACUUGUGGCUAGGGGUGAAAGGCCAAUCAAACUCGGAGAUAGCUGGUUCUCCCCGAAAGCUAUUUAGGUAGCGCCUCGGACGAAUACUACUGGGGGUAGAGCACUGUUAAGGCUAGGGGGUCAUCCCGACUUACCAACCCUUUGCAAACUCCGAAUACCAGUAAGUACUAUCCGGGAGACACACGGCGGGUGCUAACGUCCGUCGUGGAGAGGGAAACAACCCAGACCGCCAGCUAAGGUCCCAAAGUAUUGCUAAGUGGGAAACGAUGUGGGAAGGCUCAGACAGCUAGGAUGUUGGCUUAGAAGCAGCCAUCAUUUAAAGAAAGCGUAAUAGCUCACUAGUCGAGUCGGCCUGCGCGGAAGAUGUAACGGGGCUAAGCAAUACACCGAAGCUGCGGCAAUAUCUUUUAGA
Molecule: ribosomal RNA, 1170 nt
Filed under: Vibrio cholerae
Lineage: Bacteria; Pseudomonadati; Pseudomonadota; Gammaproteobacteria; Vibrionales; Vibrionaceae
Description: partial 23S ribosomal RNA
Rfam family: Bacterial large subunit ribosomal RNA
Source: RNAcentral